CCUGGCAGUGAUGUCGUUGCACUCAGGCUCCUCACAUGUGUCACAGCAGGUGCCUGGAAUUUUCAUAAUUUUACCUCCCUCAGCCAGACACUUGUGUUCAUCAAAGGGUGGGCAGCCUGUGACCCUCUUCUCCCAGAAGUACUCUCCUCUCUCAUUGACCUUGCAGAAGUGAGUAUCACAGCCAUCCUGGAGCGUCUCAUCACGCUUCAGUGUCAUGAUCUGUCCUCCUCUUAGCUGAAUGGUGCAAGCCGUAGGCAAACAUCUCCCACAAC
RNAcentral lists this long non-coding RNA (272 nucleotides) under Homo sapiens (human). RNAcentral describes it as "LNC_000790". The record is from RNAcentral. Lineage: Eukaryota; Metazoa; Chordata; Mammalia; Primates; Hominidae.